This 495-nucleotide ribosomal RNA is filed under the name uncultured bacterium. RNAcentral's name for it is "partial 16S ribosomal RNA". It matches the Rfam family "Bacterial small subunit ribosomal RNA", at positions 28 to 505 of the family's 1533-position model. The record is from RNAcentral.
GAUGAACGCUGGCGGCGUGCCUAAUACAUGCAAGUCGAGCGAACAGACGAGGAGCUUGCUCCUCUGACGUUAGCGGCGGACGGGUGAGUAACACGUGGAUAGCCUACCUAUAAGACUGGGAUAACUUCGGGAAACCGGAGCUAAUACCGGAUAAUAUAUUGAACCGCAUGGUUCAAUAGUGAAAGACGGUUUUGCUGUCACUUAUAGAUGGAUCCGCGCCGCAUUAGCUAGUUGGUAAGGUAACGGCUUACCAAGGCGACGAUGCGUAGCCGACCUGAGAGGGUGAUCGGCCACACUGGAACUGAGACACGGUCCAGACUCCUACGGGAGGCAGCAGUAGGGAAUCUUCCGCAAUGGGCGAAAGCCUGACGGAGCAACGCCGCGUGAGUGAUGAAGGUCUUCGGAUCGUAAAACUCUGUUAUUAGGGAAGAACAAAUGUGUAAGUAACUAUGCACGUCUUGACGGUACCUAAUCAGAAAGCCACGGCUAACUACG